RNAcentral lists this unclassified non-coding RNA (1092 nucleotides) under Geminocystis sp. KT25. RNAcentral's name for it is "bacterial SSU rRNA". It matches the Rfam family "Bacterial small subunit ribosomal RNA", at positions 356 to 1462 of the family's 1533-position model. Lineage: Bacteria; Bacillati; Cyanobacteriota; Cyanophyceae; Chroococcales; Geminocystaceae. The record is from RNAcentral.
GGGGAAUCUUCCGCAAUGGGCGAAAGCCUGACGGAGCAAUACCGCGUGAGGGAGGAAGGCUCCUGGGUUGUAAACCUCAAAACUUAGGGAAGAAGAAAGUGACGGUACCUAAUAUAAGCAUCGGCUAACUCCGUGCCAGCAGCCGCGGUAAUACGGAGGAUGCAAGCGUUAUCCGGAAUCAUUGGGCGUAAAGAGUCUGUAGGUGGCAUUUAAAGUCUGCUGUCAAAGACCGAAGCUCAACUUCGGGCAGGCGGUGGAAACUGAAAAGCUAGAGUAUAGUAGGGGUAGAGGGAAUUCCUAGUGUAGCGGUGAAAUGCGUAGAGAUUAGGAAGAACACCAGUGGCGAAGGCGCUCUACUGGGCAUAUACUGACACUGAGAGACGAAAGCUAGGGUAGCGAAAGGGAUUAGAUACCCCUGUAGUCCUAGCGGUAAACGAUGGAUACUAGGUGUAGUCUGUAUCGACCCAGACUGUGCCGAAGCAAACGCGUUAAGUAUCCCGCCUGGGGAGUACGCACGCAAGUGUGAAACUCAAAGGAAUUGACGGGGACCCGCACAAGCGGUGGAGUAUGUGGUUUAAUUCGAUGCAACGCGAAGAACCUUACCAAGGCUUGACAUCCUGCGAAUUUUGGGGAAACUCAGAAGUGCCUUAGGGAACGCAGAGACAGGUGGUGCAUGGCUGUCGUCAGCUCGUGUCGUGAGAUGUUGGGUUAAGUCCCGCAACGAGCGCAACCCUCGUCCUUAGUUGCCAGCAUUAAGUUGGGGACUCUAGGGAGACCGCCGGGGAGAACUCGGAGGAAGGUGGGGAUGACGUCAAGUCAGCAUGCCCCUUACGUCUUGGGCUACACACGUACUACAAUGGUUGAGACAAAGGGAAGCGAAGCCGCGAGGUGAAGCGAAUCCCAGCAAACUCAGCCCCAGUUCAGAUUGCAGGCUGAAACUCGCCUGCAUGAAGGAGGAAUCGCUAGUAAUCGCAGGUCAGCAUACUGCGGUGAAUCCGUUCCCGGGUCUUGUACACACCGCCCGUCACACCAUGGAAGUUGGUCACGCCCGAAGUCGUUACUCCAACUGUAAAAAGAGGAGGAUGCCGAAGG